AUGUCGUCACUCAUCGGCGCCCGACGCAUUUGCAUCAUCAUGCUGCGACGAGCUGAUAGGCAAAGAGGAAGGACUGGUCGAGUCCAGGCUCUCGGCCGCGCGGCACGCUGGGAAACGUAGUUUAACAACGGAACGCGGAUUCUCGGAAAGGAAGAGGGACGGGGAAGGAGAUCUCCGGGGCGCCGCAGAGGCACAAAGCCAAGGGACACACGGGGCUGGAAUUCUGGUUCUGCCACCCAACCUAUUUGACCUUGGAUGAAUCAAAACCGUCUGAGCCUUAGCUUCCUCCUCCAUAAAAUGGGAGCUUUAAAAUCCACCUUAUAAAGCUGUUGUGAGGAGCAGACGUGAUCAUCUAUGGAGAGCAUGUAUAUUUGCUAAUAGACGAAAAAUGCGAUGAAUGAUUACAAUUAUAACCCAUGCAGUCAGCUAACAUUAGGGGCACUCCUUGCCAUUUCCUGUUGCUACCAUACUUUAUUAUUUUAAAGUGUAUUCCUGGUCAGGCAUGUGGCUCACACCUGUAAUCUCAGCACUUUGGGAAGCCAAGGCAGGAGGAUCACUUGAGGCCAGGAGAUUGAAACCAGCCUGGGCAACAUAACGAGACCCCUUCUCUACAAAGAAAUGAAAAAAUUAGUUGAGCUUAGUGGUGUGCACCUGUAGUCCCAGCUACUAGGGAGGCUGAGGCAGGAGGAUCACUUGAGCCCAGGAGUCUAAGGCUGCAGCAAGCUAUGAUCUCACCACUGCAGUCCAGCCUAGGUAACAGAGUGAGACCCCAUCUCUAAAGAAAAAAAUAAAGAAAAUGAAGCUCUUGGGUUUA
Long non-coding RNA from Pan troglodytes (chimpanzee), 814 nucleotides. RefSeq lists it as uncharacterized. The transcript has 3 exons. The record is from RefSeq and is a predicted model, not a curated record. Lineage: Eukaryota; Metazoa; Chordata; Mammalia; Primates; Hominidae.